Molecule: long non-coding RNA, 682 nt
Filed under: Equus caballus (horse)
Lineage: Eukaryota; Metazoa; Chordata; Mammalia; Perissodactyla; Equidae
Description: lncRNA (ENSECAG00000050236.1)
Source: RNAcentral
GGGGGCAGCAGCAGCUGCUCUGCCUGCCCAUGGGCCCUGUCCCCAUGCCAGCGGGGGCAGCAGAAGCGGCAGCAGCAGAAGCUCUGCCUGCCCAUGGGUCCUGUCCCCAUGCUAUUCCACACUAUUCUCUAAAUAAAAGAGCACUACUGCCAGAUCUUGAGAGUCUAAGAAAUCUUUCUUUCGACUCCUCGGCUCACCAAUCCCACAUCAUUUCUGGUGGCCCGUACGGGGAAUUGCUUCAUCGGCUUGUGAGCUCGAGUUCUGGAACUACUAUCUAGCCCAUCACUAAUUCCUAAAACUGAAGAAAAAAAGAAAGAAAGAAAGAAAGAAAGAAAGAGGAGGGGAGAGGCAAAACGGCCAUAAGCGUGCCCUUGCAAAAAAUCUAGCAUCUUGAGUAUCUUCUCCACAAAUAUUGUUUCACCUCCUGGACCACCACUCGUCAAAUGAUUCUCUCGUCCCCAGAGGCUCUGGAUGCCUUGUCAGCCUUGGACUCCACGGGUGCAGUCUUCCGGUCCGCUGAACCCCCUACCUAUACCUAUGGCCCCAUUUAGGGACAGCUCUACGACCUUGUACAGCCGGAAGUAGUUACAGAAGACUGACCGUCGUCCAUAUCCCCAAAAGAUUUCGGGGCCAAAUGGGUUCAGGGGGGGUUUAUGAUGUGGAUUAAGGCUGCCCCAGCUAG